RNAcentral lists this ribosomal RNA (329 nucleotides) under uncultured eukaryote. RNAcentral's name for it is "partial 18S ribosomal RNA". It matches the Rfam family "Eukaryotic small subunit ribosomal RNA", at positions 1470 to 1796 of the family's 1831-position model. The record is from RNAcentral.
CCCUUAGAUGUUCUGGGCCGCACGCGCGCUACACUGAUGCAUUCAACGAGUCUAAAACCUGGUCUGAGAGGGCUGGGUAAUCUUUUGAAAGUGCAUCGUGAUUGGGAUAGAUGAUUGCAAUUCUUCAUCUUCAACGAGGAAUGCCUAGUAAACGCAAGUCAUCAGCUUGCAUUGAUUACGUCCCUGCCCUUUGUACACACCGCCCGUCGCUCCUACCGAUUGAACGAUCCGAUGAAAACUGUGGAUUGAGAGUCUGAGUGGGUUCGCCUACCUCAACUUUCGAGAAGCGGUUUAAAUCCUAUCGUUUAGAGGAAGGAGAAGUCGUAACA